UACUUUUUUAUAGCUAACUAUUGUACAGGCUAGCUAUAAGGUGGGCUAUAAGACUGCUUAUAGCUAGCAGUUGGCUAUACUAUUAACCAUGCUCUAACAGACUUAACGAGUACAUCCUUACCCCCUGCUGGCAACGAUUUCUCCAUCCAACCCUUUACUUUGUUUCAGAUUCUGUCACACAAAUAUUUGAAAGCGUCAUUCUUAGAAUUAC
Molecule: long non-coding RNA, 211 nt
Filed under: Hordeum vulgare
Lineage: Eukaryota; Viridiplantae; Streptophyta; Magnoliopsida; Poales; Poaceae
Description: long non-coding RNA (HVUL_LNC016717)
Source: RNAcentral